ACUGUCCACAAGUGUUGGGAGGCUGGCAGCCAGCAUUGUUGAUUUGAAGAACAUUCAUGUGGUGGACACAGCGUCCUCCCAAGAGGCUUAUGCAAACUCGUUGAAUUUAAAGCUGAUCAACUCCAACGUCUUAAAAAAAAUCUACCUGGCCACCAACUUCAACCUGGCCACCCAUGGCCUUGGGUGUGAACUCCAUUAAGUUUACAGAAGAAUAUUUGUUGCAAUGUGCUGAUGCACAAAUUGAAGCCCUAAAAGGUGAAAGACUAGAAGAGGAAGAGGCCUAGGUCUAUGUUGCUGUAUCCAGGUCUGCAGUAUGUUGCUGUAUACUACUGUAGAUCGUUUCUACUGUGUCUGUGUUAACCUGUGUUCAAGUUAAACCAUCCUUAACUUUAACUGUUUACUGUAACUGUUUACAACUGUGAAUGAAAGUAACGCAUCAUCACACAAACUGUUGUAUCAGAAGUAUUUAUGUUUUUAAGUUGUUGUUGGUUUCCAAUUUCAUUGAGUAAUUCAACAAGUACACCGAACAACAAUUUAAAUGCAACAUGUAAAG
Salvelinus namaycush (lake trout) is the source of this 553-nucleotide long non-coding RNA. RefSeq lists it as uncharacterized. The transcript has 3 exons. NCBI's taxonomy places the organism in Eukaryota, Metazoa, Chordata, Actinopteri, Salmoniformes, Salmonidae. The record is from RefSeq and is a predicted model, not a curated record.